Molecule: transfer RNA, 71 nt
Filed under: Heterocephalus glaber (naked mole-rat)
Lineage: Eukaryota; Metazoa; Chordata; Mammalia; Rodentia; Bathyergidae
Rfam family: tRNA
About the family: Transfer RNA (tRNA) molecules are approximately 80 nucleotides in length.
Source: Rfam by way of RNAcentral
GGAGAUGUAGCACAGUGAUAGAGCACUUGCUUAGCAAGUAUGAGGCCCUAGAUUCAAUUUCUAGUAGCCCA